Molecule: non-coding RNA, 208 nt
Organism: Oryza barthii
Lineage: Eukaryota; Viridiplantae; Streptophyta; Magnoliopsida; Poales; Poaceae
Source: Rfam
AAUAGGUGCAUUUUUAUACUGUUCACGUCCAACGUUUGACCGUUCGUCUUAUUUGAAAUUUUUCUAUGAUUAGUAUUUUUAUUGUUAGUAGAUGAUAAAACAUAAAUAGUAUUUUAUGUGUGACUAACUUUUUUUAAUAUUUUCAUAAAAUUUUUAAAUAAGACGAACGGUCAAACCUUCGAUACGGAUUACUACGAUUGCACUUAUU